This 3284-nucleotide long non-coding RNA is filed under the name Marmota monax (woodchuck). The record is from RNAcentral. Lineage: Eukaryota; Metazoa; Chordata; Mammalia; Rodentia; Sciuridae.
UGGAGCUUGAGCACAUGGAUUAAAAAAAAAAUGCUCAGAAAGGUUUCUUAGUCCAUCCCUGGCAGAGAGGCCACUGACAGUGUUACUAUCCCAGUUUCUUCAUUUGUCGGGUUAUCCUUGGGCUACACCACCUGAUUUGAUAACUGUUGUUUUAUCUUGAAUUUUAAUUAUCUAGUAAGGCUAGUGCCCCCUUAGAACUCUGGAAACAACUGGAGCUAUUUGCUUUUGCCUAUUUAUACUUCUACAUCAGUGGUUCUCAAGCUUUCUCCUGGGGAACUUGGCCAAAACACAACAGCCUAUGCUCCAUCUGAACACGGGCCUUGGAUUGCCCUUUGUUAGUGUUCUGGGUGAUUCCGAAGCAUGGUUUGUGAACCAUGUUCUAGAAUCUAGAUUAUCCUCCCAGAAGUUUUUUUUUUUUUUUUUAAAUCUUAUCAGGGCUUUCAACUAGAUUUGCAUUAAGUUUCCGACAUGGUCUUCAAGACUCAACAAGGUUCACUCUCUCCAUAAGGAUUUCUCUCGUUGUUCCAGCCCAACCUCAUUAUUCACACCUGUAAAUUGAUAAUUAACUCACAAGCCAGCAAUUUAGCUUGUAAUUCUUUCUUACCAUAGAGUAUGGGCGGCCUACCAGUGUGUAAGUGCCUGGAGGGCAGGGUCAGGCAUACUUUUCCAUAGUUUGCAGUGCGGUACUGGCCCAUGGAAGGCACUCAGUAAAUCUUACCUUCAUGAUUUCCACGAAUUCAUGAAGUUUAUCAAAAUCUUUGUCCAUUACAUCUUUUAUCUAAUGAGGAAGAAAAGCAUGAUUUGACCAAGCACAGAGAAUAUUGUGGAAGUCAGUUGUGUCUUUGGGGUAUUUUUAAGCAAAAGGCAGCAGCUGCACCUUGGGAAUGGACUAACAAUGUCCUAUUAAAGCCACAUUCUUCCCAAGGAAUCUAUGAAGGGUCUAGGGUGUACAUGCCAUCAAGUCGUCCCCACUGUCAGCCACAGUGUGGCUUAGGUCUGGCCAAUGCCAGUCUUACAUGUGGAGUUCAGGUCACAAUUUCAGUCCUUCCUUUCUUGAUUAUUCCCUAAGUAGGCUAUUGGUGGCUGUAUUAUAGAAACUCUUGUUAUAGAAACUCUUCUUCCCUGCAGCUGGCUCAGGUAAGGUGAAUAAGGAGAUGCAGCUGGUCUCUGGCUGCCCCCAAAUUCCAAGUCAGCCCCUUCCACUCAGCUUUAUCCCUGAGGUUCCAUCAUCCCAACUGUAACACCUUAGGGAGUCCUCAGCCACUAGAAAAUUGGGUCCAGGCAUCAGACAAAUUAGAAAUGAGUAUCCUAAGCUGCCCAACACUUAGCACUAAGAGGGAUUAGGGUGGAGUUGGUGAUUGCCUUCUCCUGCACUUCCGAUUCCCUUCACUAUUCCAAGUUAGGAAUCACAUUUUCCUUGAAGCUAGGCUUUCCCUCCAUAUGAUGUAAAGAUUUACCCCGUUACCUGUUUUAUCUCUUCCAUUUUUUCCUUGAGCUCUUCUCUCACCUCCCUGAGUUCACUCUGAGGAAAUAAAAUGGGGGAGAGAGAGUAAAGAAAUGUCCUGCCUGGAUGAGAAACUGGGUGCAGGAGGAAGGAGCGUUGUUGAAAGAGGAACAAGGAGAUACUUCUAUAGGGAGGAGAAAAAGUGUUGUCCCCACAAGGGGUCUGGGGACCCACAGGCAUCACGUGCCUCCCGCUGGCACUGUGCUGAAAGUUGGAAGUUGUCAGCCUGUGUCCAGGAACAUCAGACCAACCAAACUGAGGGUGACUCAGUGAAAGAAAUGACCUGUAAUCCUCAAAAAUGUCAGUGUCCUGAAAGACGAAGGCUGAAGAACCAUUCUAGAUUAAAGGAAAAUGAAGAGACGUGGCAAUCAGAGGUGGGCAGGCUCAAAAUGGCUGUGGUGAGGUCCCUUGCAUAGGCUUCUGGUGGGCUAUGUUUUGGUAGAUAAGCAAGGUCAUGGACACCUGAUUCAGUGUACGUCUUCAAGGUCAUAAACAUUUGCUGGUGAGCAUGUGUCCACUUAUGUGACCUGUCGGCACUGUGCCUUCUUUGGCCUGCAUGUUAAAAAAGGCCUAUGGAAAUGGCUUGGGGUUAAAGGGAACUGGCUGGGGGCUGGGGCUGGAAAGCUGGGGGCUGGCUAAAGGCUAUCCUGCCUCUGCAUGCAGCAAACCAACUGUCCCAACUGUGUCUUGCACUUCUUCCACCUGCUGGGAUCCUGAAUCUGUUUUCUGGGUCUGAGCCUCCGCCUGACAAUUGACAUAGUUGGUAGGAUCUUCCACAGGUUAGAGGUGUGAACAGGGGUGACCUGUGGUUACCAAGCAGCAUGUAGCUCUUGGUCACCAAGGUCCUAUUAGCAUGGACUCCUGUGGAGAUUUGGGAUACUGUGAAUGGUUUCCCUGAAAGCACAGAGAAGACAUGUGGUUGCCCUGAGGUGAACAGGAGCCCAGUGGGGGAGACUGUGAAUGAGAGAGGCAGAGUCCAGGCACUGGACCAUGGCCCAGAAGAAAGGUGGCAGCAGCGGUGCAGACAGGACCGAGAGGGGGCCUGAGGAGCCACACAAGGGUCCGCUAGGGCCAGGUGAUAGGUGUUCCUUACAGAUCUGAGAGCAGAGACUGAUGUGACUUUGUGAGCGACACUGCCAACAAGGGAGUUGCUAGAUACGGAGAAGACCUUGGAAGCCGAGCACGUCGCUGGAGGAAGAUCUCUGCACCUUGGAAGUACUCUUUGGCCUCCCCCAUGUGCUGAUGGAGUCCAAGGAGUAGGGAGAUUAGCACCUGCAAGCCCAGCCAGGGGUGAUGCGGAAGGUGGAGCAGGGCCAGCAUGGGUAACCAAGUCCGCCACGUUCUGCCUAUCAAGCAGAGUUGGAGGACUUAGGAGAACAGUUUAAGGCCACUUUGUGUCAAGCCUAUGAGACUUAGGGGUGCUGGGAGCCAACAGGGGCAAGACCCCUCUGUGCUACGUGUCCUGCAUAACCUUGUGACUCAGAUGGGCUAGACGGUGCCCAAGUGUGCCAGGACUCAGCAGAGACCAAAAGAGAGGCAGCAGAGACAAGAGGCUUCAGGAGGUGCCAAGGCCUAUUACUUACGUAGGUGAACCAGAAACAAGCCCAGACCUUGGAGGUAAGGCACCUGUACUGUCCAGUGUACUGAUAACCCCAGCUGUGGACAACUGCCUGUGUGGACGGUGGUGACUGAGGAGCCAGAGACAGACUGGGUCUGGUUUGAAACCAGUGCGAGACAAAAUAGCCGGUGGGCUGAGCUGAAUGGAAGGCAAGUGAAGCAU